This 250-nucleotide unclassified non-coding RNA is filed under the name uncultured fungus. RNAcentral's name for it is "sequence contains ITS1, 5.8S rRNA gene". The stretch from base 202 to 250 matches the Rfam family "5.8S ribosomal RNA", at positions 1 to 49 of the family's 154-position model. Lineage: Eukaryota; Fungi. The record is from RNAcentral.
UCUCCGUUGGUGAACCAGCGGAGGGAUCAUUAUAGAGUUUUCUAAACUCCCAACCCUUUGUGAACUUCCCUUUGUUGCCUCGGCGGGGCCUACCCGGUACCGACCCCUUUUGGGCGAAGUUACCCUGUAGCCCGCCGGUGGACCACACCAAAACUCUUGUUGUUACAGUGUCAUUCUGAAUUUAAAAACUUAAUCAGUUAAAACUUUCAACAACGGAUCUCUUGGUUCUGGCAUCGAUGAAGAACGCAGC